UACAGAGGUCUCAAGCGUUGUUCGGAAUCACUGGGCGUAAAGGGUGCGUAGGCGGCAUCACAAGUCUGGUUUUAAAGCCUGCGGCUCACCCGCAGAGAUGGACUGGAGACUGUGAAGCUAGACCUCUGGAGAGAGAACUGGAAUUCCUGGUGUAGCGGUGGAAUGCGUAGAUACCAGGAGGAACACCGAUGGCGAAGGCAGGUUCUUGGACAGAAGGUGACGCUGAGGCGCGAAAGUGUGGGGAGCAAACCGG
Molecule: ribosomal RNA, 253 nt
Filed under: uncultured bacterium
Lineage: Bacteria
Description: partial 16S ribosomal RNA
Rfam family: Bacterial small subunit ribosomal RNA
Source: RNAcentral